AUGAAUUGGAGGGAAAUCCUCAAGAACAAGAAGAAGACAAAGGGAAAAACACAAGAGGAACACUCAAGAACAAGUCCAAUCACACAUCCACUAGACCAACAAACACACAAGAUCCACAAGGUACAUGAUCAAUCAAAUGGAAACAAGAUACAUGGUAGAGUUCAUCCCAAAUCCUAUGAAGGAGAUGAGGGCUUGAUGAUUCACUUGGGGAAUCCUUCUACCUUAGGAGGUCUUGAUGAUCCUAGGGAUCCUUCUCCCUUAGGAGGCCUUCUACUCCAAUGGAGUCUUCUCUCUCUCAAGAGGAAUCCCACAAGGGGGGAUACAUGA
This 327-nucleotide ribosomal RNA is filed under the name Triticum aestivum (bread wheat). RNAcentral describes it as "partial small subunit ribosomal RNA". Lineage: Eukaryota; Viridiplantae; Streptophyta; Magnoliopsida; Poales; Poaceae. The record is from RNAcentral.